Molecule: ribosomal RNA, 492 nt
Filed under: uncultured bacterium
Lineage: Bacteria
Description: partial 16S ribosomal RNA
Rfam family: Bacterial small subunit ribosomal RNA
Source: RNAcentral
AGUGAACGCUGGCGGUAGGCCUAACACAUGCAAGUCGAACGGCAGCACAGUAAGAGCUUGCUCUUACGGGUGGCGAGUGGCGGACGGGUGAGGAAUACAUCGGAAUCUACUUUUUCGUGGGGGAUAACGUAGGGAAACUUACGCUAAUACCGCAUACGACCUACGGGUGAAAGCAGGGGAUCUUCGGACCUUGCGCGAUUGAAUGAGCCGAUGUCGGAUUAGCUAGUUGGCGGGGUAAAGGCCCACCAAGGCGACGAUCCGUAGCUGGUCUGAGAGGAUGAUCAGCCACACUGGAACUGAGACACGGUCCAGACGCCUACGGGAGGCAGCAGUGGGCAAUAUUAGACAAUGGGCGCAAGCCUGAUCCAGCCAUACCGCGUGAGUGAAGAAGGCUUUCGGGUUGUAAAGCCCUUUUGUUGGGAAAGAAAAGCAGCAGGUUAAGACCCCGCUGUUCUGACGGUACCCAAAGAAUAAGCACCGGCUAACUUCGUG